This is a long non-coding RNA of Drosophila simulans, 975 nucleotides long. RefSeq lists it as uncharacterized. The record is from RefSeq and is a predicted model, not a curated record. The transcript is spliced from 2 exons. NCBI's taxonomy places the organism in Eukaryota, Metazoa, Arthropoda, Insecta, Diptera, Drosophilidae.
GUUUACUCCCAACUAGAAAGAUUCAAGUGGUGAUCAUACUGCGAGUGAAGCAUUUUCGGAAUGCUGCGGAAAACAAAAGGCGAAGCCAGAAGGGAAAAACGCCAAGAAUGAAUCUCAUUUCCCGUGGCAUCGGCGGUCUGGGAAGUGGCCAACUCGGAAUCUCCAACUUGGCUAAAUGGGAACUUCGCACCGUGCCACUUACAGAAAAUAUGUGCUAGUUCCCGCUUGUCAUCACUAUCUAGGUUACCUUUGCUGAAGGUAAGGGAGUACGCACAGCAGUACAACAAGCAGAUGAGGGACGGAGGGCAGGAGAGAUGACGCUGUCUUCUCUGUCGCUGCUGGUACUUAAGUUUAUGAUAUGAAGUGCCACGUCCCCUGUCCCUUCGGAGUCCCCUUCUCCGACUUCCCCCCGGAGAAUCAACCUUCGCAUUGUUGUGCAACAAAAGCGUUGAGAACUUGUUAAAAAAUGAGUGGAAUUUCGCGCUGCAUUGCACUUGGGGCACCACCGCCAGCGAAAAGGGUCUUGGUUGUUUAUGUGGAUGUGACCGAAUCAUGCGGGCCAGGAUGCCAGCUGAGGCCCAUCCAGUGGAUGGAUGGGUGCACUGGGGGAAAAAUUUAAGCCUACUUUGGUACUAUUUUAAUGGAUUGUCUGAAGGGCAAGGAUGACAAUUUGUUAGGAGCACUAACACUAUACUUCUCCAAUCUUAAUUUAAAUAAUUAAUAUGUGAUGUAAUGAUUUGGUUCAUGUUGCUCAGCUUUGAUCUUUCUUUAUCUGCAUGGCUGUGCACUGGAUGUGGAUAUUCUCCGAUCCCUUAAAACGAUCCCCAUCUGCACAAGCCGCUGUCAUUGUUGUUGCAGCAGCUCAAGAACCCGAAAAGGGUUGCACCCCAGCCUGAUGAUACGGCCACAACCACGACCACGACCCAUAUAAUAAGCUUGAUAAAAUCAACGCUCUUGUUCAGGCGCAGAGAAGAA